Molecule: ribosomal RNA, 624 nt
Filed under: uncultured bacterium
Lineage: Bacteria
Description: bacterial SSU rRNA
Rfam family: Bacterial small subunit ribosomal RNA
Source: RNAcentral
AAGAAAGAUUAAUACCUGAUGGUAUGAUGAGAUUGCAUGAUAGCAUCAUUAAAGAUUUAUCGGUGUACGAUGGGGAUGCGUUCCAUUAGGUAGUAGGCGGGGUAACGGCCCACCUAGCCAACGAUGGAUAGGGGUUCUGAGAGGAAGGUCCCCCACAUUGGAACUGAGACGCGGUCCAAACUCCUACGGGAGGCAGCAGUGAGGAAUAUUGGUCAAUGGACGAGAGUCUGAACCAGCCAAGUAGCGUGAAGGAUGAAGGUCCUACGGAUUGUAAACUUCUUUUAUAAGGGAAUAAACCCUCCCACGUGUGGGAGCUUGUAUGUACCUUAUGAAUAAGCAUCGGCUAACUCCGUGCCAGCAGCCGCGGUAAUACGGAGGAUGCGAGCGUUAUCCGGAUUUAUUGGGUUUAAAGGGAGCGCAGACGGGUCGUUAAGUCAGCUGUGAAAGUUUGGGGCUCAACCUUAAAAUUGCAGUUGAUACUGGCGUCCUUGAGUGCGGUUGAGGUGUGCGGAAUUCGUGGUGUAGCGGUGAAAUGCUUAGAUAUCACGAAGAACUCCGAUUGCGAAGGCAGCACACUAAUCCGUAACUGACGUUCAUGCUCGAAAGUGUGGGUAUCAAACAGGA